CUUUUAAUUGGAGGCUUGAAUGAAUGGUUGGACGAGGAAUAAGCUGUCUCCUUUACGGUGUUUGAAUUUAACUUUUGAGUGAAAAGGCUCAAAUUGUCUGGGGGGACGAUAAGACCCUAUAAAACUUGAUAUAAUUUGAGUUUAACUUGCGAGGUGAGUGAAAAGUAGUUCUGUUCGGUUUAUAUUUCGUUGGGGAGAUGAAGAUAUAAUGUGUAACUGUCUGUUUAAUUUUAUAGAAUUAACUAGAAUUUGAUCCUUCUUUGAGGAUUAGAAGAUUAAGUUACUUUAGGGAUAACAGCGUG
Molecule: ribosomal RNA, 302 nt
Filed under: Macrobrachium rosenbergii (giant freshwater prawn)
Lineage: Eukaryota; Metazoa; Arthropoda; Malacostraca; Decapoda; Palaemonidae
Description: partial 16S ribosomal RNA
Source: RNAcentral